UACGGAGGGUGCGAGCGUUGUCCGGAUUUAUUGGGUUUAAAGGGUGCGUAGGUGGCUUUAUAAGUCAGUGGUGAAAUACAGCCGCUUAACGGUUGAGGUGCCAUUGAUACUGUAGAGCUUGAAACAAUUGGAGGCUGCCGGAAUGGAUGGUGUAGCGGUGAAAUGCAUAGAUAUCAUCCAGAACACCGAUUGCGAAGGCAGGUGGCUACGUUUGAUUUGACACUGAGGCACGAAAGCAUGGGGAGCAAACAGG
RNAcentral lists this ribosomal RNA (253 nucleotides) under Dyadobacter sediminis. RNAcentral's name for it is "partial 16S ribosomal RNA". It matches the Rfam family "Bacterial small subunit ribosomal RNA", at positions 524 to 776 of the family's 1533-position model. RNAcentral also lists the same sequence under 1 other name. Lineage: Bacteria; Pseudomonadati; Bacteroidota; Cytophagia; Cytophagales; Spirosomataceae. The record is from RNAcentral.